Molecule: small nucleolar RNA, 137 nt
Organism: Sceloporus undulatus (fence lizard)
Lineage: Eukaryota; Metazoa; Chordata; Lepidosauria; Squamata; Phrynosomatidae
Product: small nucleolar RNA SNORA42/SNORA80 family
Exons: 1
Source: RefSeq, a predicted model, not a curated record
GCAUGGCUUUGGAUUUAUGGUAGGUCCUACUCCAUGGACUUCUCAUAGUGUACUCCAUGCCACAGCAGCUUGUCUCCCUGAACCACUGGCUGGCCUGGCUUGCUGUAGCCCCAGCCACUGAAGUGGGUGAUACAUGC